AGUGAACGCUGGCGGUAGGCCUAACACAUGCAAGUCGAACGGCAGCACAGUAAGAGCUUGCUCUUACGGGUGGCGAGUGGCGGACGGGUGAGGAAUACAUCGGAAUCUACUUUUUCGUGGGGGAUAACGUAGGGAAACUUACGCUAAUACCGCAUACGACCUACGGGUGAAAGCAGGGGAUCUUCGGACCUUGCGCGAUUGAAUGAGCCGAUGUCGGAUUAGCUAGUUGGCGGGGUAAAUGCCCACCAAGGCGACGAUCCGUAGCUGGUCUGAGAGGAUGAUCAGCCACACUGGAACUGAGACACGGUCCAGACUCCUGAGGGAGGCAGCAGUGGGGAAUAUUGGACAAUGGGCGCAAGCCUGAUCCAGCCAUACCGCGUGGGUGAAGAAGGCCUUCGGGUUGUAAAGCCCUUUUGUUGGGAAAGAAAAGCAGCAGGUUAAUACCCCGCUGUUCUGACGGUACCCAAAGAAUAAGCACCGGCUAACUUCGUG
Molecule: ribosomal RNA, 492 nt
Filed under: uncultured bacterium
Lineage: Bacteria
Description: partial 16S ribosomal RNA
Rfam family: Bacterial small subunit ribosomal RNA
Source: RNAcentral